CCUACGGGUGGCAGCAGUGAGGAAUAUUGGUCAAUGGACGAGAGUCUGAACCAGCCAAGUAGCGUGAAGGAUGACUGCCCUAUGGGUUGUAAACUUCUUUUAUAAAGGAAUAAAACGAGGCACGUGUGCCUUUUUGCAUGUACUUUAUGAAUAAGGAUCGGCUAACUCCGUGCCAGCAGCCGCUGUAAUACGGAGGAUCCGAGCGUUAUCCGGAUUUAUUGGGUUUAAAGGGAGCGUAGAUGGGUUGUUAAGUCAGUUGUGAAAGUUUGCGGCUCAACCGUAAAAUUGCAAUUGAUACUGGCAGUCGUGAGUACAGUUGAGGUAGGCGGAAUUCGUGGUGUAGCGGUGAAAUGCUUAGAUAUCACGAAGAACCCCGAUUGCGAAGGCAGCUUACUAAACUGUGACUGACAUUGAUGCUCGAAAGUGUGGGUAUCAAACAGGAUUAGAUACCCCAGUAGUC
RNAcentral lists this ribosomal RNA (460 nucleotides) under uncultured bacterium. Its description in RNAcentral is "partial 16S ribosomal RNA". It matches the Rfam family "Bacterial small subunit ribosomal RNA", at positions 338 to 795 of the family's 1533-position model. The record is from RNAcentral.